GGGAGUGAAUUGUUUCGACAAGGGAACUAUUCAAUAAAUUGCAUGUCGAGCUGAUUGACUCGUAAAUCCAAUCAAAAAACAAGAACUGCCAACAAUAAAAUGGCUUUAGCAUACGCUUAAUAACCAUUCGGUAAACGCGUAAGCCAUCGGUUCCUAAUUUCCAAUAAGGGUAAACUGGUGUCAUACAUUGGAAUCGUUCUGGAAAGAUGCUUCAGUAUCCAGAGCUAAAUUAAGAAGCAACUUGCCUACAGUAUAAUAGGCACAGUCCUUGUGACUAAACAUGUAGAUAUUUUUUGAAAAUUCUUUUGGACGAGGGUUCGACCCCUCCACUUCCACUA
RNAcentral lists this transfer-messenger RNA (338 nucleotides) under Candidatus Wolfebacteria bacterium CG10_big_fil_rev_8_21_14_0_10_31_9. It matches the Rfam family "transfer-messenger RNA". Rfam says of the family: Bacterial tmRNA, also known as 10Sa RNA or SsrA, is named for its dual tRNA and mRNA-like properties. Its role is to liberate the mRNA from a stalled ribosome. Lineage: Bacteria; Candidatus Wolfeibacteriota. RNAcentral also lists the same sequence under 1 other name. The record is from RNAcentral.